Molecule: ribosomal RNA, 251 nt
Filed under: uncultured bacterium
Lineage: Bacteria
Description: partial 16S ribosomal RNA
Rfam family: Bacterial small subunit ribosomal RNA
Source: RNAcentral
UACGUAGGGAGCGAGCGUUGUCCGGAUUUACUGGGUGUAAAGGGUGCGUAGGCGGCUAUGCAAGUCAGUAGUGAAAUCCAUGGGCUUAACCCAUGAACUGCUAUUGAAACUGCACAGCUUGAGUGAAGUAGAGGUAGGCGGAAUUCCCGGUGUAGCGGUGAAAUGCGUAGAGAUCGGGAGGAACACCAGUGGCGAAGGCGGCCUACUGGGCUUUAACUGACGCUGAGGCACGAAAGCGUGGGUAGCAAACA